Molecule: ribosomal RNA, 486 nt
Filed under: uncultured bacterium
Lineage: Bacteria
Description: partial 16S ribosomal RNA
Rfam family: Bacterial small subunit ribosomal RNA
Source: RNAcentral
AUUGAACGCUGGCGGCAUGCCUUACACAUGCAAGUCGAACGGCAGCACGGGUGCUUGCACCUGGUGGCGAGUGGCGAACGGGUGAGUAAUACAUCGGAACAUGUCCUGUAGUGGGGGAUAGCCCGGCGAAAGCCGGAUUAAUACCGCAUACGAUCUACGGAUGAAAGCGGGGGACCUUCGGGCCUCGCGCUAUAGGGUUGGCCGAUGGCUGAUUAGCAAGUUGGUGGGGUAAAGGCCUACCAAGGCGACGAUCAGUAGCUGGUCUGAGAGGACGACCAGCCACACUGGGACUGAGACACGGCCCAGACUCCUACGGGAGGCAGCAGUGGGGAAUUUUGGACAAUGGGCGAAAGCCUGAUCCAGCAAUGCCGCGUGUGUGAAGAAGGCCUUCGGGUUGUAAAGCACUUUUGUCCGGAAAGAAAUCCUUGGCCCUAAUACGGUCGGGGGAUGACGGUACCGGAAGAAUAAGCACCGGCUAACUACGUG